This 526-nucleotide long non-coding RNA is filed under the name Setaria viridis. Its description in RNAcentral is "long non-coding RNA (SVIR_LNC000571)". The record is from RNAcentral. Lineage: Eukaryota; Viridiplantae; Streptophyta; Magnoliopsida; Poales; Poaceae.
GUUGGUAGCUAUAGAAAGCCACGCCAACCAGUGGCGUGCCAUAAUCUGUGGCGGCAAAAAUCGGUGCUGAAGGUUUAGCGGCUGUGGCGAGAAAAACAACUACAGAAUCAGUGGAGAGUUGUGGUGUGCAAAAAAUAAGUAAUCAACCAAACACCUUCCUAAAUUAUAGGCGUGGCUAGUUGUGGUGGGAACCAAAUAUCCCCUAAGCAUAGAGUACAAUUACAUUUUCAUAUUAUAGUAGGCGCAAAAAUUGGUAGAUAAUUUUGGCUUUUCGUCCAUCACAAUUCCCCAUUUUACAUCGUAUAUCUCAAAGUACAUGUCUAUUUCUGUCCCCUCUCUUUUAGGGUUUAGCGAUGUUAUCUAUUCCCCCUAGAGUUGUCUUUGUUAAGAUGAUGCCCUAACGGUUAAUGAGCAGCUCUCUUGCCUGCUCUGUGAGAGGUAUUUUUAUGUUUUACUUUACUUGUCUUGUCAAUUAAGUUGUUCAAUACUGCAAAAGAAAUGGAAUAACUAAUAAAGUCUUUUUUCC